RNAcentral lists this ribosomal RNA (293 nucleotides) under Staphylococcus aureus. Its description in RNAcentral is "partial 16S ribosomal RNA". It matches the Rfam family "Bacterial small subunit ribosomal RNA", at positions 625 to 916 of the family's 1533-position model. The record is from RNAcentral. Lineage: Bacteria; Bacillati; Bacillota; Bacilli; Caryophanales; Staphylococcaceae.
AUUGGAAACUGGAAAACUUGAGUGCAGAAGAGGAAAGUGGAAUUCCAUGUGUAGCGGUGAAAUGCGCAGAGAUAUGGAGGAACACCAGUGGCGAAGGCGACUUUCUGGUCUGUAACUGACGCUGAUGUGCGAAAGCGUGGGGAUCAAACAGGAUUAGAUACCCUGGUAGUCCACGCCGUAAACGAUGAGUGCUAAGUGUUAGGGGGUUUCCGCCCCUUAGUGCUGCAGCUAACGCAUUAAGCACUCCGCCUGGGGAGUACGACCGCAAGGUUGAAACUCAAAGGAAUUGACGG